AACGAACGCUGGCGGCAUGCCUAACACAUGCAAGUCGAACGAUCCCUUCGGGGAUAGUGGCGCACGGGUGCGUAACGCGUGGGAACCUGCCCUUAGGUUCGGAAUAACUCAGAGAAAUUUGAGCUAAUACCGGAUAAUGUCUUCGGACCAAAGAUUUAUCGCCUUUGGAUGGGCCCGCGUUGGAUUAGCUAGUUGGUGGGGUAAAGGCCUACCAAGGCGACGAUCCAUAGCUGGUCUGAGAGGAUGAUCAGCCACACUGGGACUGAGACACGGCCCAGACUCCUACGGGAGGAAGCAGUGGGGAAUAUUGGACAAUGGGCGAAAGCCUGAUCCAGCAAUGCCGCGUGAGUGAUGAAGGCCUCAGGGUUGUAAAGCUCUUUUACCCGGGAUGAUAAUGACAGUACCGGGAGAAUAAGCCCCGGCUAACUCCGUG
Molecule: ribosomal RNA, 433 nt
Filed under: uncultured bacterium
Lineage: Bacteria
Description: partial 16S ribosomal RNA
Rfam family: Bacterial small subunit ribosomal RNA
Source: RNAcentral